Molecule: ribosomal RNA, 1537 nt
Filed under: Chitinibacter fontanus
Lineage: Bacteria; Pseudomonadati; Pseudomonadota; Betaproteobacteria; Neisseriales; Chitinibacteraceae
Description: bacterial SSU rRNA
Rfam family: Bacterial small subunit ribosomal RNA
Source: RNAcentral
AUUAAACGAAAGAGUUUGAUCCUGGCUCAGAUUGAACGCUGGCGGCAUGCUUUACACAUGCAAGUCGAACGGCAGCACGGACUUCGGUCUGGUGGCGAGUGGCGAACGGGUGAGUAAUACAUCGGAACGUACCCAGUAAUGGGGGAUAACUAUCCGAAAGGAUAGCUAAUACCGCAUACGCCCUACGGGGGAAAGAGGGGGAUCGCAAGACCUCUUGUUAUUGGAGCGGCCGAUGGCUGAUUAGCUAGUUGGUGAGGUAAAGGCUCACCAAGGCGACGAUCAGUAGCGGGUCUUAGAGGACGAUCCGCCACACUGGAACUGAGACACGGUCCAGACUCCUACGGGAGGCAGCAGUGGGGAAUCUUGGACAAUGGGCGCAAGCCUGAUCCAGCAAUGCCGCGUGCGUGAAGAAGGCCUUCGGGUUGUAAAGCGCUUUUGUCAGGGAGCAAAAGGUGGUGGCUAAUAUCCAUCGCUCUUGAGAGUACCUGAAGAAUAAGGACCGGCUAACUACGUGCCAGCAGCCGCGGUAAUACGUAGGGUCCAAGCGUUAAUCGGAAUUACUGGGCGUAAAGCGUGCGCAGGUGGUUUGUUAAGCACGAUGUGAAAUCCCCGAGCUCAACUUGGGAAUUGCAUUGUGAACUGGCUAACUAGAGUACGGCAGAGGGGGUGGAAUUCCACGUGUAGCAGUGAAAUGCGUAGAGAUGUGGAGGAACACCGAUGGCGAAGGCAACCCCCUGGGCUGAUACUGACACUCAUGCACGAAAGCGUGGGGAGCAAACAGGAUUAGAUACCCUGGUAGUCCACGCCCUAAACGAUGUCAACUAGUUGUUGGGCUUUUCGGAGCUUAGUAACGCAGCUAACGCGUGAAGUUGACCGCCUGGGGAGUACGGUCGCAAGACUAAAACUCAAAGGAAUUGACGGGGGCCCGCACAAGCGGUGGAUGAUGUGGAUUAAUUCGAUGCAACGCGAAAAACCUUACCUGGUCUUGACAUGUACGGAAUCCUUUAGAGAUAGAGGAGUGCCUUCGGGAACCGUAACACAGGUGCUGCAUGGCUGUCGUCAGCUCGUGUCGUGAGAUGUUGGGUUAAGUCCCGCAACGAGCGCAACCCUUGCCACUAGUUGCUACCAUUCAGUUGAGCACUUUAGUGGGACUGCCGGUGACAAACCGGAGGAAGGUGGGGAUGACGUCAAGUCCUCAUGGCCCUUAUGACCAGGGCUUCACACGUCAUACAAUGGUCGGUACAGAGGGUCGCUAACCCGCGAGGGGGUGCCAAUCUCACAAAACCGAUCGUAGUCCGGAUUGCACUCUGCAACUCGAGUGCAUGAAGUCGGAAUCGCUAGUAAUCGCGGAUCAGCAUGUCGCGGUGAAUACGUUCCCGGGCCUUGUACACACCGCCCGUCACACCAUGGGAGUGGGUUUCACCAGAAGUAGGUAGGCUAACCGCAAGGAGGCCGCUUACCACGGUGGGAUUCAUGACUGGGGUGAAGUCGUAACAAGGUAGCCGUAGGGGAACCUGCGGCUGGAUCACCUCCUUUC